RNAcentral lists this small nucleolar RNA (70 nucleotides) under Fusobacterium sp. OBRC1. Lineage: Bacteria; Fusobacteriati; Fusobacteriota; Fusobacteriia; Fusobacteriales; Fusobacteriaceae. The record is from RNAcentral.
AGGGAAGUUAUGAAUAAUUUUAUGAUAGAUAAAGGAUAUAUUUUUUAUUUAGAUGGAAUAUUAGUUCCUA